This 497-nucleotide ribosomal RNA is filed under the name uncultured bacterium. Its description in RNAcentral is "partial 16S ribosomal RNA". It matches the Rfam family "Bacterial small subunit ribosomal RNA", at positions 28 to 507 of the family's 1533-position model. The record is from RNAcentral.
GAUGAACGCUGGCGGCGUGCCUAAUACAUGCAAGUCGAGCGAACAGAUGAGGAGCUUGCUCCUCUGACGUUAGCGGCGGACGGGUGAGUAACACGUGGAUAACCUACCUAUAAGACUGGGAUAACUUCGGGAAACCGGAGCUAAUACCGGAUAAUAUAUUGAACCGCAUGGUUCAAUAGUGAAAGACGGUUUUGCUGUCACUUAUAGAUGGAUCCGCGCCGCAUUAGCUAGUUGGUAAGGUAACGGCUUACCAAGGCGACGAUGCGUAGCCGACCUGAGAGGGUGAUCGGCCACACUGGAACUGAGACACGGUCCAGACUCCUACGGGAGGCAGCAGUAGGGAAUCUUCCGCAAUGGGCGAAAGCCUGACGGAGCAACGCCGCGUGAGUGAUGAAGGUCUUCGGAUCGUAAAACUCUGUUAUUAGGGAAGAACAAAUGUGUAAGGAACUAUGCACGUCUUGACGGUACCUAAUCAGAAAGCCACGGCUAACUACGUG